Molecule: ribosomal RNA, 439 nt
Filed under: bacterium WTD2005
Lineage: Bacteria
Description: bacterial SSU rRNA
Rfam family: Bacterial small subunit ribosomal RNA
Source: RNAcentral
GAUGAACGCUGGCGGCGUGCCUAACACAUGCAAGUCGAACGAGCGAGAGAUGAAACCUAGUGAUUCUCGAGCGAGUGGCGGACGGGUGAGUAACGCGUGGGUAACCUGCCUUACAGAGGGGGAUAACAGUCUGAAAAGACUGCUAAUACCGCAUAAGCACACAGUACCGCAUGGUACAGGGUGAAAAGAUUUAUCACUGUAAGAUGGACCCGCGUCUGAUUAGCCAGUUGGCAGGGUAACGGCCUACCAAAGCGACGAUCAGUAGCCGACCUGAGAGGGUGAUCGGCCACAUUGGGACUGAGACACGGCCCAAACUCCUACGGGAGGCAGCAGUGGGGGAUAUUGCACAAUGGAGGAAACUCUGAUGCAGCGACGCCGCGUGAGUGAAGAAGUAUUUCGGUAUGUAAAGCUCUAUCAGCAGGAAGAUAAUGACAGUACU